AGAGUCAAGUGACAUGUGUCAGUGGGGCCUUAGGUCAAAAAUUGAGGUAUGACAAUAUUCAUCUAGGUUCAUCAAGAUCUUCAUAUGGGUUCAUCAUAUAUGAAUGUCAGAUGAAUUACUAGGUUUAUCAUAUGCGUUUCAUAUGAAUUUAUGAGCAUUAUCCAUAAGUAGUGGCUUUUCCACUAACAUCACAAUGUUGAUGGAUAAUACCUUCUCAUAUUUGCCUUGGAAACUGUGUAGG
RNAcentral lists this long non-coding RNA (241 nucleotides) under Medicago truncatula (barrel medic). RNAcentral's name for it is "long non-coding RNA (MTRU_LNC003276)". The record is from RNAcentral. Lineage: Eukaryota; Viridiplantae; Streptophyta; Magnoliopsida; Fabales; Fabaceae.